This 449-nucleotide ribosomal RNA is filed under the name uncultured bacterium. RNAcentral describes it as "partial 16S ribosomal RNA". It matches the Rfam family "Bacterial small subunit ribosomal RNA", at positions 29 to 523 of the family's 1533-position model. The record is from RNAcentral.
AACGAACGCUGGCGGCAUGCCUAACACAUGCAAGUCGAACGAGAUCUUCGGGUCUAGUGGCGCACGGGUGCGUAACGCGUGGGAAUCUGCCCUUUGGUUCGGAAUAACAGUUGGAAACGACUGCUAAUACCGGAUGAUGACGAAAGUCCAAAGAUUUAUCGCCGGAGGAUGAGCCCGCGUAGGAUUAGCUGGUUGGUGUGGUAAAGGCGCACCAAGGCGACGAUCCUUAGCUGGUCUGAGAGGAUGAUCAGCCACACUGGGACUGAGACACGGCCCAGACUCCUACGGGAGGCAGCAGUGGGGAAUAUUGGACAAUGGGCGAAAGCCUGAUCCAGCAAUGCCGCGUGAGUGAUGAAGGCCUUAGGGUUGUAAAGCUCUUUUACCCGGGAUGAUAGUGACAGUACCGGGAGAAUAAGCUCCGGCUAACUCCGUGCCAGCCGCCGCCGUAA